AGAGCGAACGCUGGCGGCAGGCCUAACACAUGCAAGUCGAGCGCGUGUAGCAAUACACGAGCGGCAGACGGGAGAGUAACACGUGGGAACGCGCCCUUCGGUUCGGAAUAACUCAGGGAAACUUGAGCUAAUACCGGAUACGCCCUUACGGGGGAAAGAUUUAUUGCCGAAGGAACGGCCCGCGUCCGAUUAGCUAGUUGGUGAGGUAACGGCUCACCAAGGCGACGAUCGGUAGCUGGUCUGAGAGGAUGACCAGCCUCACUGGGACUGAGACACGGCCCAGACUCCUACGGGAGGCAGCAGUGGGGAAUAUUGGACAAUGGGCGCAAGCCUGAUCCAGCCAUGCCGCGUGGAUGAUGAAGGCCUUAGGGUUGUAAAGUCCUUUUAACGGGGAAGAUAAUGACGGUACCCGUAGAAUAAGCCCGGCUAACUUCGUGCCAGCAGCCGC
Molecule: ribosomal RNA, 448 nt
Filed under: uncultured bacterium
Lineage: Bacteria
Description: SSU rRNA
Rfam family: Bacterial small subunit ribosomal RNA
Source: RNAcentral